This is a long non-coding RNA of Oreochromis niloticus (Nile tilapia), 2152 nucleotides long. RefSeq annotates it as T-lymphocyte surface antigen Ly-9. The record is from RefSeq and is a predicted model, not a curated record. NCBI's taxonomy places the organism in Eukaryota, Metazoa, Chordata, Actinopteri, Cichliformes, Cichlidae. The transcript has 7 exons.
GGGGAACGUUGGUGGUUGCUCCAGGGUUCCGGGGUGCAGUAAGGGGAGCCCACCUUCCGCUGCUUCCUUUGACACGUUCUGGAGAAAAAGAGAGGCGCAUGUGUCUUCAAUACUUUGCUUUUCAUCUGCUUUUACAGAAUCGUAGGGAGUCUUCUUACUACCUGGCCUCAGAUAUUCACUGGUGAGACAAUCAUCUCUAAGAUAUGAGAUACAAGAAUGUGAAGGCAACACAAACAACCUUUAAACAUCAGCUGGCUACACCAGAGAAACCAGGCACAGCAGAUUUCCUGUUGAGGAAUUCCACUUUUCUUCCAUUCAAAAAACUCUGAUGGAUUAAAAAUGAUUCUGCUUCUGAGUUUUUGGAUUGUCACAGGUCUCAUGGCAGAGGACCCAACAGCGACAUAUUAUCGGCUGAAAAACAGCUCAGUGUGUCUGAAUGUCAGGAAACCGCCACCAUAUAGACGUGGUGAAUGGAAAUUUAACACAAUAAUUAUUGCUGAUGAUACAGAAAUCAAUCCAAUAUACAAAGACAGAGUGGUUUAUAGUGCUGGAAACCUCUCCUUGUGUAUUAAUAACCUGGCUGAUACAGACGCUGGCAUAUAUGAAGUCUCAUACCACCAAAACUUUACUUCAGUGACAGAGAAACAUGAAGUCAUUGUUCAAGAUGUGGUUCCCAGACCUGUCAUUAUAAUGUCAAAGCUUGGCUCCAACCAGUCUGCUGGACUCUGCAGUAUCACAGUAAACUGCUCCAUCCAGGAUUAUUGGCUUUGGUCUGUUUGUGAUGAAGACGGCUGCAGAACAUCACAGAAAUCAUUCAGUGAGGUCAACAUCACCAUCUUCACUGAGAACAGAGCUGUGGUCUGCAGAGGCAACAACCAUGUUAGCACAAAUAAAGCUUCUGAAAACUUAACACUGUGUUUUAGAUAUAAUAAAGAUGAACAGAAAUCACAACAAGUCAUACUAAAAGGAAUACUUAUUCCUGUUUCUGUAUUAAUUAUUCUUGGAGCAUUUUCUUUCUUUUUAGUUAAAACAAAAUACAAAUCCUACCAGUCUAGAGUCUCUUCUACCAAUGAUCCUGAUCCUGCUGAGAACGUGGACGUCUUUCAGUCCAGCCAGACCAGAGAGGAAAUGAUCUCCAUGGAAAGCCACAAAGCAGAUACCAUCUACAACUGUCCAGAAGUGACGGCCACCAUGGAGGAGGCCCUCCAAACAGACUGACUCAGUUUACAGCAUGUUGUGGAAGCCAAACAAAUCUGCUACAUACACAGCACCACCAAGAGGUCAACAAGAUCUGUGAACAGGGGGAAACAAAAGGAAACAGAACAGAAACAAAUCAAAGAAACUGAACAUUUUUAUUCUUAUUUCAGGCAGAUACUCCAAAUAAUAACUAAAGCACUUCAAAAAUAAUAGCAACCCUCCACCAAGGUAUCUCACUCUGGUCAGUAUUUACUUUAUCUUGUAUAUAUUCGUUUUGCUUUCUUUGUUCUUUUUAAACAUACUUUAAUACGUUUGUAGAAACAAGUAUAAAAAAAAAAUACAAAGUACUGGAUUUUUUUCAUUUUCCCUCUUGAAACCCAUUUUGACAUGUUUGGCAUCAUUUUGACUGCAAAUGUUUGUUUGUUUUAUAUGGAUAUAGUACAUGUGUAGCAUUCAUUUCAUUGUUCAGUGAUGAAUUUUAAGUGAAAGCUUUUGAUCAUAAGUUUAUUUUGUUUUCCAAAAAUAAUAGUUAUUCAGAAACAGUUAUAACCUGUUAUUGUGAUGUACAUAACAAAGUCACAAUAAAAUCAGUGAUACUCAAAAAGUGCUCCAUGCCAACAUGACCUUGGUGGAUGUAAGCCAACUUUAAAUGGGCUGUUAACACGAUGCCACUCUACAUCCCUACAAAGUUUUAUCACAACUCCAUUUUUUCAGCUAUCAUGUUUACAGAGAGAAGAAAACACAAACAAGCGCUACCAAAAACUAAUUUGUUCAAAUCCUUUCAUUUCUAGCUCAUUAAUAUUUAGCAUAAAAGAGACAAAGAAAUGCAGCAGGGUGCAAGAUUGUAGCAGCCAGGGCAUACAUAGAACGCCAUAGCCUUUACUGCUGUCACGCUGGAAACAAUAAAGUUAAAUAUUAAUUCAGUCACGUUUUGACAUCCUUAACUUUCAAAUCC